AAACCACUUAGGGGUUAAGCCCGAUGAACCUGAAUAUCUGAAAUAAGAAAUUCAAUAUUAUUAUAGUCAAUAGUAUAUAUUGAUCGAUAAUGGUAUGCACUUUUCUUAUAGUAAGACAUUGCGAUUCAUUGACUAUAUAUUAUAAUUAUUAUAAUAUUUUAUGAUAAGACUCAUUAAAUUGUUUUAUUUUUUACACUUAUUCAUUUAAAUGUAAAAUAAAGUUUAGUGAUGCUCGCAUAAAAAGUUGAUGAACUUUAAUAAAUUAUAUUAUUUACAUAAAAUAUGUAUCACAAUUAUAUAUUUGAAUAAAAUAUGUAUUGUAUAUAUGUGAUAUGAAUAUAAUUUGAUCUGCAAUGCGUAUGAUUUAGGAAACCUUCGGGACCCGUCUUGAAACACGGACCAAGAAGUCUAACAUGUGUGCAAGUCAUUAGGAUUUGCUUAUAUUUUUAAUAUAAGUAAUUAUAUAAACCUAAAGGCGUAAUUAACAUAACUAUAUAUUAUGGGAUUACAAGUAAUUUAAAAUAUUAUUUUUCCAUCUCAGGGCGUUUUAUAUUGAACAUGAUAAUUUUAUAAUUGUCCUCUGUUCAAAAGCGUACCUUGAGCAUACAUGCUGU
Molecule: ribosomal RNA, 614 nt
Filed under: Synneuron annulipes
Lineage: Eukaryota; Metazoa; Arthropoda; Insecta; Diptera; Synneuridae
Description: eukaryotic LSU rRNA
Source: RNAcentral